UAUCAAUUAAAGAAAAGCACAUUAAAAAUAUUUCAAAAAAAUCUAGAAAAAACUUAUGAUAAUCAACUUUCACAAUAUUGAGAUGAGAAGAAACUGAGGAAUAAAGAGAUUCAACUAGAAAUUGAAUUACCAAUACAUGUAAUAAGUCACUGUUUCAUACAGCAAAAAUGACAAAUCUUUAAAAUGUUUUUCUUUUGAAAUACCAAAACUCAUGGGACCAAUAAAAUGAAAUAAAAUUGAAGAAUACAAAGCAAAUUCUUACACACUUAUAGUUUUAAAAAUAACAUUUUGAUUUAACUACUAAAAUGGUUGAAUUGAAAAUGUCUGUCAUUUAUUGCCCUCCCCAAAAAUAAAAACAGAAAAACAUAAACAAAGCUAUUCAAAUAUGGUUACUGGUCAUUUCUGUGUGGAGGACACUCUGGUAAGGUUAAAAUAUACAAAAUUAACAACUUCAUAACAGAACAAGUUGUUUAAAACAUUUUAUAGACAGGAAUCAAUAAAUAAUGAUUUUUUUAAGAUACAUGUGGCACAUAUGAAAAAAUUUAAAUUCUAUAAAAAAUAUAUUAAACAGUGCAAUAAGAUGUACAUUAAGUGUCUACAAGCCAAACUUGAAAACAUUUUUUACAGAUAUCUUGACUUCAGUUGUGGCAUUUUGAAAUCUGCUUAUUUUUUAUACGGCUGCAAAAAUUAAUUUUUUUUGGGUCGUAUAUUGGUAUCACUUUGUCGUCAGCGUUGUCCGAAGACGGAUGGAUUCCGGAUAAUAACUUUAGUUUCAGUGAAUAGAAAUCAAUAAAAUUUUAACACAAUGUUUAUAACCACAAAAGGAAGGUUGGGAUUGUUUUUGGGGGUUAUGGUUCCAACGGUUUAGAAAUAGGGGCCCAAAACAAGCAUUUAUCUAGUUUCAGGACAAUAAGUUGUGUAUAAGUAUUUCAAUUGUUCAGAAAGGUUUAAUACCAUAAGUAGAAAUUUGAGAUUCGUUUUAAGGGUUAUGGGGCAAACAGUCUGGGAAUUAAGGGCCAAAAACAAGCAUUUUUCUAGUUUCAGGACAAUAACUUGUGUGUAACUGUAUGGAUCUCUCUGACAUAAUUUGUACCACAAGGUUCCAUAUAAUAAAUAGAAGGCUAUGAUUGAGUUUGGGGUUAAUUUCCCAGAACAUGAAGGAAUAAGGGGCAAAAAAAUGGCCAAAAAGAAGCAUUCUUAUAGACCGCAAAAAUUGAAAUUUUUUGGUCGUGUAUUGGUAUUAGGGUGGCGUCGUCGUCGUCCAAAGACAUUUGGUUUUCACACUAUAACUUUAGUAAAAGUAAAUAGAAAUCUAUGAAAUUUAAACACAAAGUUUAUGACCCCAAAAUGAAGGUUGGGAUUGAUUUUAGGAGUUUUGGUCCCAACAGUUUAGGAAUUAGGGGCCAAAAGGGUCUAAUCAUGUAUUUAGAUUUUGGAUAUUGGUCCAUAAUAGGUAAAUGUCCAAUUUAAAAUUUUUAAGUUUUUAAGUUUAAGUUCUUAGACCAUAUUCAUUCUGUGUCAGAAACCUAUGUUGUGUCAGCUAUAUCAAGCUUAAAUGUUGUGUCCAUACUUGCCCCAACUGUUCAGGGUUUGACCUCUGCAGUCGUAUAAACCUGCGCCCUGCAGAGCAGCUGGUUCUAGUUUCAAACAAUAACUUGUGUUUGAUACGUGGAUCUCUCUGAAAUUAUACUACAAGGUUUCUUACUACAAAGGAAAGGAUGGAAUUGAGUUUUGGAGUUCUUGCUCCAAGGGGGGUUUCAAUAAAUUGGGGGCCAAAAAAGGGGCCCAAAUAAGCAUUUUGGUAGUUUCCAGUCAAUAUUAACUUGUGUUGAAGUGUAUAAAUAUCUCUGAAAUUAUACCACAAGUUUCCAUACAACAAAGGGAUGGUUAUGGGGUUAUGGCUCAAAUCAUAUAGCAAAUAGGGGUAAAGAAGGGGGAAAACAAGGGUUUUUCUGGUUAAAGGACAACUUAGACAAUUUAAAAGCAGUGUAAGGGAGUAAGGGUAACCCAAUUCAAUUUAAAGAAUACUGUUCUUUUGUAGACGAAACGCGUGUCUGGCGUCCUGGUAUCUAUGAUGAGUUUAUUUACAACCACUGGGUCGAUGCCACUUUUUGUGCUGACAUGAAUUGUCAUUGAUAUGGUUAUAUUUAUAAAUUUACUGUUUACAAAUUUUGGAUUUUUUUGAAAUACUAAGGCUUUUCUACCUCAGGAAUAGAUUUCCUUAGCUGUAUUUGGCAAAACUUUUAGGAAUUUUGGUCCUCUAGCUCUUCAACUUUGUACUUUAUUUGGCCUUUUUAACUUUUUUAGAUUCGAGCGUCACUGAUGAGUCUUUUGUAGACGAAACGCGCGUCUGGCGUAUAUACUAAAUUUAGUCCUGGAAUUUAUGAUGAGUUUAUUUAUAUAUAUAUAUAUGUUUGAUGACCUCCCUUCACUGCUUGACAAUUAUGUAUUAAGAAAUGAUGAUUGUCUUGAGAUGAUUAGCUGUAAUUUUAUUUUUAGAAGUUACUGUUACUUAAUAUUAAUUUUUACCAUGACUGUAUGUCAUUUUAUAUUUUAAUAUGUAUUUAAAUGAGUAGUUAUUGUUGCAAACUGCAUUAGAAAUUUGAAUUGAGAUUAUUUUUGGAAUAAGGAAACGGGGAGGUGAACAAAAAUUCAGAGGGUGGGGGUGGUAAAGUUUAUCUCAUUUCAGAUUUCAGAAAUUAAAAAGAAUUUUUCUUUAAAUAAUUUUUUUUUUGCUGGGAUUAAUAUUCAACAGCAUAGUGUAUUGCAAAAAAAAAUGUUUAAGUUCAUUAAACAACAUUCAUUUUGUGUCAGAAACCUUUGCUGUGUCAACUUUUUAAUCACAACCCAAAUUCAGAGCUGUAUCAAGCUUGAAUGUUGUGUCCAUACUUCACAGAUUUUGAGAAUUAUGAGAAUUAUAAAACUGCUUUAUGACAUUGUUUGCAGCAGAGUAAUAUUUUCUGAGCUAGCACUAAACUCUCAAUUUGCCAUGACUUUCCAUGAAGUUCAGAUGGAAGAAAAAACAACUACUAUAUCUUUCUUCCUUAUCUCUAGCUCCAGCCUGAAGGAAAAUAUCAACAAAUCAGGUGCUCUGCAGGGUGCAGCUUUAAACUACCACAGAGGUUGAACCCUGAACAGUUGGGGCUGUGUGAAAAUUUCCAAAGCAGGAAAUGUUUAAGUUUUGAUUCAAGUUUCACAUAUAAACUUGUGUGUGAUAGCUAGUUAAUUUAAUAAAAUCUAUCUUACAUGUAAUGAAAAAAAUAAAACACUUUAUCAAAAUUUUAUAUAAGAUAACCUUGUUACCUUAUAUUAUAUGGCAGUUUAAAGUUUGACAACA
Molecule: long non-coding RNA, 3337 nt
Filed under: Mytilus galloprovincialis (Mediterranean mussel)
Lineage: Eukaryota; Metazoa; Mollusca; Bivalvia; Mytilida; Mytilidae
Source: RNAcentral